GGAAUUUCUUUUUCUUGAGGGUGCAAUAGUCUAUAGAGUAUUUACUAUUACUUUCUGUUUGGUGGAAUAGUGAAAUAGAAGUCAAUACGUUCUUGCUCAAUCCUGUGUUGCUUUGAAGGUUUCCUGAUUGUCAUGACAUCCUCAGCCUAAGCAAUGUUUAUUACUGUAAUUUUAAUUUCAAAAUGACCGUCGUGUGCCGUUUUUUCAACGCACUGGUCAACUCCACCAUAGCAAAUCACAUGACUUUGACAAUCAGUAAAUACCACCGAAAAAUAUCUUUAUAUUAAGUAAAGAAUUGUCGUAUAAAAAUUAAAUACUCGGGAAAUGGCAAAGUUCACGAAGUCUAGUCUGAUAAAAUAAUUUUUUUAAAAAAAAAAAAAAAAAAGUCCGAGCAAAGGGGGGGCGUACGCCCUCUACGCCCCCCCCUGAAUCCGCCACUGCUGAA
RNAcentral lists this long non-coding RNA (445 nucleotides) under Mytilus galloprovincialis (Mediterranean mussel). The record is from RNAcentral. Lineage: Eukaryota; Metazoa; Mollusca; Bivalvia; Mytilida; Mytilidae.